CCCAAAACCACCCACAAUCCCCCACUCCUAAUCAACCUCCCCCACUAUUCCCCCCACACACUACCACAACUACAUACUACUAUAUAAAGCACACAAACAUACUACACUACAAAAAAAGACAUAUCAUAUAUACACACACACGGAAAACAAGAAAAGAAACACUACACUACUACUACACUAUCCUACAUAACUACAACUACAUACAGACUACACAAAAUACACAUACACGGCUGAAACAAGAAAAAGAAAAACCACUACAUAUUAUAUAUACUAC
This 274-nucleotide long non-coding RNA is filed under the name Capsicum annuum. Its description in RNAcentral is "long non-coding RNA (CANN_LNC001715)". The record is from RNAcentral. Lineage: Eukaryota; Viridiplantae; Streptophyta; Magnoliopsida; Solanales; Solanaceae.